GACGAACGCUGGCGGCGUGCUUAACACAUGCAAGUCGAACGGAAAGGCCUCUUUCGGGGGGUACUCGAGUGGCGAACGGGUGAGUAACACGUGAGUAACCUGCCCUUGACUUUGGGAUAACUUCAGGAAACUGGGGCUAAUACCGGAUAGGAGCUCCUGCUGCAAGGUGGGGGUUGGAAAGUUUCGGCGGGUGGGGAUGGACUCGCGGCUUAUCAGCUUGUUGGUGGGGUAGUGGCUUACCAAGGCUUUGACGGGUAGCCGGCCUGGGAGGGGGACCGGCCACAAUGGGACUGAGGGACGGCCCAGACUCCUACGGGGCGCAGCAGGGGGGAAUAUUGCGACAUGGGGGGGAGCCUGGUGCAACCACCCCCUGGUCGGGAUGACCGGCCUCGGGGUUGAAACCGCUUUCGCUCAUGACGAAGCUUUGUGUGACGGUAGUGGGUAAAGAAGCACCGGCUAACUACGUG
Molecule: ribosomal RNA, 467 nt
Filed under: uncultured bacterium
Lineage: Bacteria
Description: partial 16S ribosomal RNA
Rfam family: Bacterial small subunit ribosomal RNA
Source: RNAcentral